This 263-nucleotide unclassified non-coding RNA is filed under the name Paraglomus occultum. Its description in RNAcentral is "partial internal transcribed spacer 2". The record is from RNAcentral. Lineage: Eukaryota; Fungi; Glomeromycota; Glomeromycetes; Paraglomerales; Paraglomeraceae.
GUGAAUCAUCGAAUUUUUGAACGCAAAUUGCGCUUUUUGCGGAAGGAAUGUGUGUUUGAGGGCACCAUUUAACAAAUAAUGUGCAUUUAGUGUGAACACGUUGAUGAGAUUUAAAAAAUUAUGUAGUAAUAUUUUUGGUGGCGCAUAAUAAAUAGCGCGAUGCUUUUGUUCAGUUCGAGUGUAGUAAAAUUUUUUAUUGCUGGGGGUGUGAAAAGCGUGAUGGUGGAAUGGGUGGGGUGAUGCUACUAACACUGCCUCAAAGC